UGUUAAAGCAGCUCUGUCUAAAUGUCCAGAGUAGGGCUGAGAUGCAGGCUUGCCUUUGGAAUGGCUUUCAGACUCCUGGAUGAAGACCCCUUCUCUGCUCCUUCUCUGAGCAGAGAAUGGGCAGACUGGAGGGUUAAUCCCCACAUUCUCCAGACUCACUAUGUUUGACCUCACCUCAUCCAUGCUUUUCUUUGCCUGAUAGAACUUGCCCUGUUUCACUCGAACACUGGAUAGCUCUGUCUCAAGGGCCAACCUGAGUGUUUCUGUGGAAAGGAUGUUUUCCACAGGGAGAAGCAGUAGGCUGAAGUGGCUCUUUAGGGAGAUGCAUACCUCCACAGGCAGAGCACUCUAGAUUGUUUUAGCACAUUCCACUUAAGAAUUGCAGUGUGACAGCAGACCCAAUUGGGUCUGGAACUAGCUCUCAGAUUUGCUGCAUGUUGCUAACCCUGAGUUUUGGAGAGAAGCUCUGAUGAGACUAAGAGGGAUGCUGAUAACCUGGAGGAGGGACAUUGAUGACGGACACCUCUGCCUCCUUCCACUUUAUUUGGCUGGCUGCCUCCUGACGUCCUGGCUUAGGUUUUUCCUUUUUCUCCUGGAGAAGACAAGUGGAGUCUGGCUCCUGCUUUUACCUCCUUACAGAGGAUCCUGCAGGCUUAGGAGCCCCAUUUCUGGGAGCUUUCAAUUUUGACAGCUGUAAAUCCUGCCUUCCAUGUGUUUCAUUGCCAGCCUCAUCCAUUGAAUAACAAGCUCCUUGCAGGCAGAAGGGGUCUUCAUCCAGGGGUCUGAAAGCCAUUCCAAAGGCAGGCCUGCAUCUCAGCCCUGCUCUGGACAUUUACACAGAGCUGCUUUAACAACUCACUGGAGUGUGCCGACCACUACUUUUCACUUCCUCUGCAAGCAAGAGGUCCUAAAACAGCUGCUACACUGAGGAAGAUGAGAGGGUACCUCUCUCCCUGGCAAUGGCAAACUGGAAGGCAGGAUUUACUGUUGAAUUUGUUGAGAGCUCAAAGCUCCUUGGAUUCAUUCUGCAUCUGAGAAAAUCCUCUUCAGUCAGGUGAUUGCAUCCAUUUCGUCUUCCCAGCCCUCUUCUAGAUGGGAGGUGGAGGUGUGUGUACCAAUCUCUUAAUUCAGAAAUGAGACAAAAGGAGGAAAAAGGAGAAGUUCAGGAGGUGUGUGAUCCAAGUCUGGCUACUGCUAUGGACAUUCCAGGAGGGAGACUCCAUCAGAGAAGUGGAGCUGGAGUUGGGUGUUAGAAGGUUCAUUGGACCUCUGAAUUCUUUUCACGGAUCUUUUGGUGUUAGGUGAUCAUGUCUGAAGCAGUGACUUCUGGGGAUUAUUUAUCUUUCACUUUGGAUGUCUGAUCAGAAUAAAGCACUGUCUUAAAGCCAAGAAGUGAUAAUGAUGGAAAAUGGGCCGUGGCAUGAUGGAGGCAGCAACCCUUCCACCUGUUUGUAAAACACUGAAAAAAUUGUGAUCUCAGAUAAGGAAGUGUCCUCCAGUGAGAAAGGAAUUAUUUCCCACCGACCACAUGAUAAAUGUACAGCUGGGAAAACUCCUGUCAGUGGAUGCGGUGUCCUUUCCAGAUUCAAUAUUAUGCAAACUGCAUAUCGGCAAAUGGAGUAAACAAAUAUGUCCAUGAAGUUUCUGGAUGCACAGAGAGAGGGCCUUUACCAAUACACAGGCACAGACCUGCCGAUCUGCAUGGGAAUGACUGAGCGCCCUUGGCCAGCCCGUGGCCAUCUCCACUGCCAUCUCUCUCCUCUGCAACGUGUCUGAGCACUUGAGAUAAUGGGCCAUUCUGCUGCCCAGCAGCAGAGGACAAGAGGAGGCACACAGAUCUAGGGGUGACUGUAGGUUAAAUUGGAGCUGUCAGUGGCUGGGUCCGGGGGGGUCCUUUCAGGGAAUGAGAGUGAAGUUGCCCCAGCCAGUCCUGCACCUGCUCUAGGCCUGGCCCUCUCCCCUUCAGCCCCACCCACAACUAUCAGGCUCCUCAAUCACAGGCAAGACUGUGGGCAUGUGUGCUUUUCAGCUCUGUCUUCCCUGCCUGUCAGGUAUGGACAGGAGGCAUUACCCAUACUGAGUCUUCCUGGUAGAGAGAGUUUGGCCCAGUCCCCUUCUCAUCACAGACUUCAAUUUCCAGGCAUAGGGAGAGUGAUGGACCAAGGCUGGCUUUAGUCCUGCAAUUCUGCAAAGUGUAGGACACUUCUGCACUGUGCUGAUCCUAUUGCAAUAACCCUGGGAGAAUAAGUACUUUAAAAAUUUUCACUUCUAAGCAGAUGAGACAACAGAUUUAAAAGGAUAAGAGUGGAUUUUUUUGAAAGGUGGGCAGCAAAUGAUUGGCAAAGCUAGCGUUUAGACCUGGGGCUGUCUUUUAACAAAAAUCUCCUACUUACUGUUUUUCAAAAUGGUACCAUGCUUCCCCAAACACCCCUGCAUUCAGAAAACCAACCAACCAACCAAUCAACCAAAAAGGGACAAGGACAUCUAAAAGGUCCAUCUUCAAAGCCUGAAAUGAAAUAUUUAUCUAUCUGUCCUCCACAUUCCACCUCUUCUACCCUGGCUGGCUUGACAGAUUUUUCUUGCAGCUUCUGUCCCCUUUGUUUGUUGACAGGGAAUCUGCCUGCUUUCUUACAUGCUUGUUUCUUUGGACAGAUAGAAAUCAGCAUAUCCUCUGCUGGUUUAUGGUGGGGUAACAGGGCCUUCUCACCAUCACCUACCUUGUGGUAUCUGGCUUUGCAGAAGCUGUUCACCCAAGUAGACUGGCUUCAGUCACUAUCAAACAUAUUUGAAGUCUCAGAAUUACCGAAACAAAUAUUUGCAGCCAUGCUAGCAGGGCUCCUGAUAAACAGGCAUGUUUGUCUUUAUUGUUUUGGAAGUAUGAUGAAUUCUGAGAUGUCAAGAGAAAAUGUCCCCAGACUCAAUUUCACAUCCCAACCAGUGUCCUGUCCCUGGUGCCCAAGAUGUGUGUUGCGGAGCAGAUGGUUGUGUCGUGGGGAGACAAGAUUGAGAUGAAAAUGCAUAACCCCCUUGCAUGGGCAGCUCUGAAAAGCCUCCAGCAGCUCUUGCAGGGGAAAUGCUGGGAUGGGAGGUUAGUUAGGCCACAGGAGGAACAACUGAGGCCAAAGCUUUAUGUGUUUAGUGGUUAGACAUCUUGUUGUGGAGGCUAUUGAUGAAUUGGAUAUCUGUGAUCUGAUUUUUAGCACCUAGCAUGUAUUUGAUAUUUCAUAUAGGUCUUUGAUUAUUAAAUUGUAAAUAGUUUUAGAUCUUUCCAGAAUUUUCCAGAAUUUCACCAACUCCAUUCUUUUCGAAAGUGGGGACAUCAAUCAACUAAAAUAUUCUUUGGCCAAUCACUGUGCCCAUUCGAUGUUCAGAUCCAAAGCCAAUAAAAUCUUUCAAGAAUACCCUAGAUAAUACCUGUUGAGGAUUAUUGUCAGGCUGGCUUAUUUGAGUCUCCCUCUUUCACCCUAAGACGUCUAAAAUAGAUGAUGGGGACUAUCGCAACAGAAUUUUACCAAUGAAAUUAUUUACCAAGGAGCAACACUAGGGAAGUGAUUAAUGGGUACACUGGAAAACUUAUUUUCCCCACGUCAUUGCCAAAACUCCUAAUCUUUUGCAUGUCUUAUCUGACUUUCCAUGCCAGAAUAUAUGUUGAAUAUACUUGUAUCUCAUAUUGCCAUGCUUAUCCCUUGGAGAUGGCUUUUCAAUUAUUUUUCCAUGUGUCUCCCAUCCAUGGACAAUGUGGCAAACAAUGAAGUGACCCUCCAUGAUCCCCAGCUCCUGUUCACAUCCUGUACAGUCUCUUCCCUUGAGUGUGGGCAGGACCUGUGACUUGCCUCUAACCAACAGAAUAUGGCAAAAGGAUGAGCUGUCACUUACAGGAUUACAUUGCAUUUUAUGAGACUCCCUCUUGUUAGCAGAUUUAACUAGAAACUCUCCUUGCUGGCUUGAUGGAAUAAGUGGCCGUGUUGGAAAAGCCCACAAGGGACUCUAUGAAUGAUGAGGGCUUCUAGUUACUGAGGGCAGCCUCAAACUAUUAGCCAACAAGAAUCUGGGGCCCUCAGUCCAAAAACACAAGGGAAAAUGAUUCUACCAUCAACCAGAACAAGCUUGGAGGCAGAAUCUUCCCCAGUUAAGCUUCCAGAUGAGAUCUCAGCCUGACAGAUACCUCAACUGCACCUUAUGAGACUGACAGAAGAGAACCCAGCUGAGCAGACACUAAAGCCACUGAAUUUAAGAUAAUUUGUUGUGCAAUAACAGAAAAGAUACAUACCACUCAGGAGUUCCUGGUCACGUGCAUUGUAUGAAGGCCUCAGUGUUGUUAUUCUGAAAUCCUCCUGUGUGUCAUCUGAAACUUACUCUCUGUGGGCUCUUGAAAAUGAAAACUAGGUAACUUGCUAGAGGAAAACAACAAAUACUGCUGGAUUUGAGGUUUAUAGUUGUUAAUGCCUGUGUCUAUAGGCUGCCAUGUCCUUUUAGAAUUCCAGGUCUGAAUGCCUGUGAAUGCAUCUUUACUUGGUAGUUCCACAUCAAAUGAAAAAGAUCCCAAACAGAACUUCUCAUCAUUCAGAUCUGCUGCUGCUUCAUCACUUUAAGCUUUAGGAAAUGAUACCCCUCCUCUCUGAACCUGCAUCCCCAUGUCUCCCCGACUUCCCACAGCCAACUGUUCCCUGGGCCCUUGCCCAGAAAAAAAAAUGGUUCUGGGGGAUUCCUGUCCUUAUGUCUAGAGUAGAAAAACACCACAAAGUUCCCAUGAGUUGGGGCCUUUGUAAAUUGUCUCUCUGGGUUUCUAUGGGGUCUUUGUUUUUUUCCCAAGGACCAAAGGCACUCUUUCAUCUGAGAGAUAAGAAAGUCCCAAGCCUCAGACCAGAAUAACAGACAAGAAAAAAUCACAAAGGCACUGGGUCCUGGAAGCGCCCCCAAGUCUCUCAGGUUUGCUCUAAACACAAGAGAAAGGAGGUGGACUUCUGCUAUGGACCCAGGUCUCCCUGCCUUGCCUUUCCAGUCUCUUAAAACUGCACUAUUAAGGAUUCAGAGAAACCAUAUACAAACACCCUCCUAUAUUAAAUGACAUUGUGUUAGCAUCCAGAUAAAGCUAGCCAAGGUUUAUUGACUAAGGAAUGUCUUCACAUCCUUACUGAACUUCAGCAUAGGCAAGACUGCCCUUGAUAAAUCAUAGGGCAAAAUAUUUCUCAGUAUCUGCAUUAUUGGCCAAAAUUAAAAGUCAUAAGAGUUGCAUUUUUCAAGUAAGCAUAAUGCAAAGGAAGUGGUGUCUGUUCAGAUGACAAAGCAGAAGUGUAGGAGCAGAGACUUGUACAGAGUCUCUGAAAAAGUGUUAAAGCUCACUAAGAAAUGUCAUCUGGGAAAAGAGGAGAAACUAGCCCCACAUACAAAAAUUAAAGGGAUAGGGCAAAAGACAAACCAUGAAGUCAGUGCAUAAUAUAAUGGCUGUAUCAUGCUUUACAAUGCAGUGCUCAGAUAAGUAAGUAAAGAUUAAAAUGAAAGAAAUAUAAGGAUACGAAAUGUAAGAUGGGGCCAGAAAUAAGGUCUUUACUCAACUUGUGUGCCAUAAAUUCUACUAUAUUUGGCAGAAAUAUAAGGCAUAUUUGGUCCUAAGUUUUCUAGCCGCCAAUGAUGAAGGAAAGAGACUCAAUUGCAUGAAUUGCACUGCCCCCAAACCAACAAAAGCAAAAGUUACUCAGAAGAACCAACGAAGUUCUGCUUUUGAGUCCAGAGACAAAAGUUCUUCAUGAAGGCAAGUGAGAAGAAGACAGGGUGGGUGCAGUGGCUCACACCUCUAAUCCCAGCACUUUGGGAGGCCGAGGUGGGCAGAUCACCUGAGGUCAGGAG
This is a long non-coding RNA of Rhinopithecus roxellana (golden snub-nosed monkey), 5847 nucleotides long. RefSeq lists it as uncharacterized. The record is from RefSeq and is a predicted model, not a curated record. The transcript is spliced from 7 exons. Lineage: Eukaryota; Metazoa; Chordata; Mammalia; Primates; Cercopithecidae.